Molecule: ribosomal RNA, 860 nt
Filed under: uncultured Neocallimastigales
Lineage: Eukaryota; Fungi; Neocallimastigomycota; Neocallimastigomycetes; Neocallimastigales
Description: partial large subunit ribosomal RNA
Rfam family: Eukaryotic large subunit ribosomal RNA
Source: RNAcentral
UAUGUGAUCGUCUCUCGCAUAUCAAUAAGCGGAGGGAAAAGUCAACUACCUACGCUUAGGAUGUUGACACACGCGCGUGCUCGACUCUAUACAUGACUCUGUGCAUAUCAAUAAGCGGAGGAAAAGAAACUAACAAGGAUUCCCCUAGUAACGGCGAGUGAAGCGGGAAGAGCUCAAAUUUGAAAUCUUAAAGGGUUUCCCUUUACGAAUUGUAGUUUAAAGAAGUGUUUUCUGUUGAGGUUUUGGUAAAAGUUCUUUGGAAUAGGACAUCAUAGAGGGUGAGAAUCCCGUAUUUGACCUUUACUUUCAACUUUGUGAUACACUUUCAAAGAGUCGGAUUGUUUGGGAAUGCAGUCCAAAAUGGGUGGUAAAUUUCAUCUAAAGCUAAAUAUUGGCGAGAGACCGAUAGCGAACAAGUACCGUGAGGGAAAGAUGAAAAGAACUUUGAAGAGAGAGUUAAACAGUACGUGAAAUUGUCAAAAGGGAAGCGUUUGCACUCAGUGUUGUUUUUCUGAAAAUCAAUUAAAGAACUGUUUAUGCUAAGUUGUUUAGACUUUAUCAGCUAACUGUUUAGUUUUGAGCUUUUCUUUAAUGCACUUUUCAGUUAACAAGUCAACAUCAAUUUCUUUUGCUGUAAAAAAGCUUGAGGAAGGUGGCUUGAGAUUCGUCUUAAGUGUUUAUAGCCUCUUGCCUAUGCAGUCGGAGAGAUUGAGGUCUGCAGCGUAGAUCCUUCGGGGCUAAAUGCAUUUGUGCUAAGUUAUAGCAUUUUAUAGACAACUUGUUGACUAUGAUUUGUCUUGUAGCUUACUCGCUUAUGUUAUUUUACCUACGCUUAGGAUGUUGACACACGCGCGUGCUCG